UAGGGAAUCUUCCACAAUGGACGCAAGUCUGAUGGAGCAACGCCGCGUGAGUGAAGAGGGCUUUCGGGUCGUAAAACUCUGUUAUUGAAGAAGAACGUGUGUGACAGUAACUGGUCAUGCAGUGACGGUAUUCAAUCAGAAAGUCACGGCUAACUACGUGCCAGCAGCCGCGGUAAUACGUAGGUGGCAAGCGUUGUCCGGAUUUAUUGGGCGUAAAGCGAGUGCAGGCGGUCUUUUAAGUCUGAUGUGAAAGCCUUCGGCUUAACCGAAGAAGGGCAUCGGAAACUGGGAGACUUGAG
Molecule: ribosomal RNA, 299 nt
Filed under: uncultured bacterium
Lineage: Bacteria
Description: partial 16S ribosomal RNA
Rfam family: Bacterial small subunit ribosomal RNA
Source: RNAcentral